AGAAGAAGCACCGGCUAACUCCGUGCCAGCAGCCGCGGUAAUACGGAGGGUGCGAGCGUUAAUCGGAAUUACUGGGCGUAAAGACGCAUGCAGGCGGCCUGUUAAGUCAGAUGUGAAAGACCCGGGGCGUUAACCUCGGAAUUGCAUUUGUAAACUAGGCAGGCUAGAGUCUUGUAGAGGGGGGUAGGAAUUUCAGGUGUAGCGGUGAAAUGCGUAGAGAUCUGAAGGAAUACCAGUGGCGAAGGCGGCCCCCUGGACAAAGACUGACGCUCAGAUGCGAAAGCGUGGGGAGCAAACAGGAUUAGAUACCCUGGUAG
RNAcentral lists this ribosomal RNA (317 nucleotides) under uncultured bacterium. RNAcentral's name for it is "bacterial SSU rRNA". It matches the Rfam family "Bacterial small subunit ribosomal RNA", at positions 483 to 793 of the family's 1533-position model. The record is from RNAcentral.